Long non-coding RNA from Lagenorhynchus albirostris (white-beaked dolphin), 535 nucleotides. RefSeq lists it as uncharacterized. Lineage: Eukaryota; Metazoa; Chordata; Mammalia; Artiodactyla; Delphinidae. The transcript has 3 exons. The record is from RefSeq and is a predicted model, not a curated record.
CAAAGAACCAGGCAGCUACCUGGGCGAGGCACAAUAUGGGCCAUGCCUCCGGAGCCUCCAACGGCUGUGGCACUGGGCUAACGUCGGUUGCUUUGGUGACGUCACCAUUCGUUUUUUUCGGUGGUGAGGGAAAGCCAACAUCGGUUACGUCUUGUGGAGGCAACUCUGGCACUGAAACAUUACUAGAGAUCUCGCGGCUAUCCUGGGAGUUGUAGUUUGUCUUCAAAGCUACCAGGGCGUUGGGGCCACGCCCCCACAUCCUUUCCUGUUCCGUUGAAGUAGUGCCUGAUGGAAGUUGUAGUUUCUAUGGAGAUUCCUAUAGACUCCAGAAUCAUGCAUAAAGCCUGAGCUCCCCUGAAUGUCAGAAGUUUGGAGAAAUGGUGUGUUCUUGUGGAGACCAGAGGGCUGGGUGAGAUAUGGGCGUUUAAAGAAACGUCUAUCUCGAGUAGAACCUAAGCUCUUCUGGGAGCCAGAAUCUUGGGUAAUGACUGGAUUCUUCUGAAGGUCAGAGUCAUGGGAAAGGCUUGGAUUCUUG